Long non-coding RNA from Oreochromis niloticus (Nile tilapia), 490 nucleotides. RefSeq lists it as uncharacterized. NCBI's taxonomy places the organism in Eukaryota, Metazoa, Chordata, Actinopteri, Cichliformes, Cichlidae. The transcript has 3 exons. The record is from RefSeq and is a predicted model, not a curated record.
GGAGUCCCUCCCUCUAAAAGCACUCUGUGUGGGGAACAUGAGAGCCAGACCAAAGCUCAGAGGAACCAACCUGGACCUCCACCCAGCUCUGUGUCCAAUAAAAGUAACUCAGUCAAAGAUGUCAUUAAGAGAUUUAAGCAAAGACAGUCAGCUAAGAAAAAGAUCCAUCAGAGACUCGAACCUGGACCUCCACCCAGCUCUGUGUCCUUACAGAGUGACCAGUCUAAACAUGCUGGUAUUGACUUUAAAUCAGGCGUGUGUGGUCCUGCAGAGAGGUAAUGUGUGUGUAAAUGUUGUUGUGUGUUUGUGAAUAAAUCCUCCAUCAUGUUUAAUGUCAGCUCUGUUUCACACACAUGUUCAUAUGUGCAGUGGUGUGUGUUGGAGUGUUUCCACAAACACAGCAGAUACUCAGAGAUUAUUUUUAGGAAGGGGAGAUGUUCUCAAACUCUGUCCUGAAACUCUUCACUCAGUCUGAUCCCCACUUCCUGCU